Molecule: ribosomal RNA, 497 nt
Filed under: uncultured bacterium
Lineage: Bacteria
Description: partial 16S ribosomal RNA
Rfam family: Bacterial small subunit ribosomal RNA
Source: RNAcentral
GAUGAACGCUGGCGGCGUGCCUAAUACAUGCAAGUCGAGCGAACAGAUAAGGAGCUUGCUCCUUUGACGUUAGCGGCGGACGGGUGAGUAACACGUGGGUAACCUACCUAUAAGACUGGGAUAACUUCGGGAAACCGGAGCUAAUACCGGAUAACAUUUGGAACCGCAUGGUUCUAAAGUGAAAGAUGGUUUUGCUAUCACUUAUAGAUGGACCCGCGCCGUAUUAGCUAGUUGGUAAGGUAACGGCUUACCAAGGCAACGAUACGUAGCCGACCUGAGAGGGUGAUCGGCCACCCUGGAACUGAGACACGGUCCAGACUCCUACGGGAGGCAGCAGUAGGGAAUCUUCCGCAAUGGGCGAAAGCCUGACGGAGCAACGCCGCGUGAGUGAUGAAGGGUUUCGGCUCGUAAAACUCUGUUAUUAGGGAAGAACAAAUGUGUAAGUAACUGUGCACGUCUUGACGGUACCUAAACAGAAAGCCACGGCUAACUACGUG